This 476-nucleotide ribosomal RNA is filed under the name uncultured anaerobic ammonium-oxidizing bacterium. RNAcentral describes it as "bacterial SSU rRNA". It matches the Rfam family "Bacterial small subunit ribosomal RNA", at positions 365 to 832 of the family's 1533-position model. The record is from RNAcentral.
UUCGCAAUGCCCGAAAGGGUGACGAUGCGACGCCGCGUGAGCGAAGAAGGCCCUAGGGUUGUAACGCUCUGUCGAGGGUUAUGAAAUAUAGAUGGGUUAAUACCCCAUUUAUUUGACAAAAGCCCAAAAGGAAGCCACGGCUAACUCUGUGCCAGCAGCCGCGGUAAUACAGAGGUGGCGAGCGUUGUUCGGUAUUAUUGGGCGUAAAGAGCACGUAGGUGGUUUUAUAAGUCAGGUGUGAAAGCCUUCUGUUCAAAGGAAGAACGGCAUCUGAAACUGCAGAUCUUGAGUGUAGGAGGGGAGAGUGGAACUUCUGGUGGAGCGGUGAAAUGCGUAGAUAUCAGAAGGAACGUCGGCGGCGAAAGCGACUCUCUGGCCUAUUACUGACACUGAGGUGCGAAAGUUAGGGGAGCAAACGGGAUUAGAUACCCCGGUAGUCCUAACCGUAAACGAUGGGCACUAAGUAGAGGGGUUUU